ACGGGUGAGUAACGCGUGGGAAUCUACCCAUCCCUACGGAAUAACGCAUGGAAACGUGUGCUAAUACCGUAUACGCCCUACGGGGGAAAGAUUUAUCGGGGAUGGAUGAGCCCGCGUUGGAUUAGCUAGUUGGUGGGGUAAAGGCCUACCAAGGCGACGACCCAUAGCUGGUCUGAGAGGAUGAUCAGCCACAUUGGGACUGAGACACGGCCCAAACUCCUACGGGAGGCAGCAGUGGGGAAUAUUGGACAAUGGGCGCAAGCCUGAUCCAGCCAUGCCGCGUGAGUGAUGAAGGCCUUAGGGUUGUAAAGCUCUUUCACCGGAGAAGAUAAUGACGGUAUCCGGAGAAGAAGCCCCGGCUAACUUCGUGCCAGCAGCCGCGGUAAUACGAAGGGGGCUAGCGUUGUUCGGAAUUACUGGGCGUAAAGCGCACGUAGGCGGACUUUUAAGUCAGGGGUGAAAUCCCGGGGCUCAACCUCGGAACUGCCUUUGAUACUGGAAGUCUGGAGUAUGGAAGAGGUGAGUGGAAUUCCGAGUGUAGAGGUGAAAUUCGUAGA
This 557-nucleotide ribosomal RNA is filed under the name uncultured bacterium. RNAcentral describes it as "bacterial SSU rRNA". It matches the Rfam family "Bacterial small subunit ribosomal RNA", at positions 102 to 694 of the family's 1533-position model. The record is from RNAcentral.